GACGAACCGUGCGAACGUUAUUCGGAAUCACUGGGCUUAAAGGGCGUGUAGGCGGUCUGCCAAGUCAGGGGUGAAAUCCUUCGGCUCAACCGGAGAACUGCCCCUGAUACUGGCGGGCUCGAGGGAGAUAGAGGCAGCCGGAACUACCGGUGGAGCGGUGAAAUGCGUAGAUAUCGCUUGGAACGCCGAAGGUGAAAACAGGCUGCUGGGGUUGCGCAGACGCUGAGACACGAAAGCCAGGGGAGCAAACGGG
This 253-nucleotide ribosomal RNA is filed under the name uncultured bacterium. RNAcentral describes it as "partial 16S ribosomal RNA". It matches the Rfam family "Bacterial small subunit ribosomal RNA", at positions 524 to 776 of the family's 1533-position model. The record is from RNAcentral.